GCCUACAGCCAUACCACCCUGAACACGCUUGAUCUCAUCUGAUCUCAGAAGCUAAGCAGAGUCGGUCUUGGUUAGUACUUGGAUGAUUUCAUUUCUUUUAGAUAUAUACCCAGUAAAUGGGAU
RNAcentral lists this ribosomal RNA (123 nucleotides) under Prolemur simus (greater bamboo lemur). Lineage: Eukaryota; Metazoa; Chordata; Mammalia; Primates; Lemuridae. The record is from RNAcentral.